CUGGCUCAGAGCGAACGCUGGCGGCAGGCUUAACACAUGCAAGUCGAGCGGGCCCUUCGGGGUCAGCGGCAGACGGGUGAGUAACGCGUGGGAACGUGCCCUUCGGUUCGGAAUAACUCAGGGAAACUUGAGCUAAUACCGGAUACGCCCUUAUGGGGAAAGGUU
This 165-nucleotide ribosomal RNA is filed under the name Methylobacterium sp. 174MFSha1.1. RNAcentral's name for it is "16S rRNA. Bacterial SSU". It matches the Rfam family "Bacterial small subunit ribosomal RNA", at positions 19 to 209 of the family's 1533-position model. Lineage: Bacteria; Pseudomonadati; Pseudomonadota; Alphaproteobacteria; Hyphomicrobiales; Methylobacteriaceae. The record is from RNAcentral.